GAUGAACGUUGGCGGUGCGCCUAAUACAUGCAAGUCGAACGGAGACUGUAGUAAUACUGUCUUAGUGGCGAACGGGUGGUAACGCGUUGGUGAUCUGCCUCGAAGUGUGGAAUAACGUUCCGAAAGAGCACUAAUACCGCAUGGUCUUCUGGUUUUUAGAACGCCAGAUGUAAAGGAUUUAUUCGCUUCGAGAGGAGCCUGCGUCCCAUCAGCUAGUUGGUAAGGUAAUGGCUUACCAAGGCGAUGACGGGUAGGGGACCUGAGAGGGUGGCCCCCCACAAUGGAACUGAAACACGGUCCAUACACCUACGGGUGGCAGCAGUAGGGAAUAUUAGUAAUGGGCGAAAGCCUGAACUAGCGACACCGCGUGUGCGAAGAAGGCCUUCGGGUUGUAAAGCACUUUUAGAGAGGAUGAGGAAGGACGGUACUCUCUGAAUAAGUCUCGGCUAACUACGUG
Molecule: ribosomal RNA, 457 nt
Filed under: uncultured bacterium
Lineage: Bacteria
Description: bacterial SSU rRNA
Rfam family: Bacterial small subunit ribosomal RNA
Source: RNAcentral